Chinchilla lanigera (long-tailed chinchilla) is the source of this 943-nucleotide long non-coding RNA. RefSeq lists it as uncharacterized. NCBI's taxonomy places the organism in Eukaryota, Metazoa, Chordata, Mammalia, Rodentia, Chinchillidae. The transcript has 4 exons. The record is from RefSeq and is a predicted model, not a curated record.
AUAUCCAAAACUGACUUCAGUCUUUUCAAUUCUCGUGGCAGGCUCUGCAGCGCAAUGAUUGAGAGCUUGGUUCUGGUGCUUGAUUCUGUCCACACCGGCUCCGUCGUCUCCCAGCUUAUUAUCACUUUAAGCAAGUUUUGAACUUCUUUGCACCUCAGUGACUAUAUUGGCAAGAUGGAGAAAGAAUAGGAUUUCACAAGUAAAAAUCCUGACCAAACAAUUCAAGAACACAAGAAUGUGCAGUGAAACAGCGAACAAAAGAUAACAGACUACUUGAAUAAAAAUCGAUUCAAAUAAUGUACACAGAAUGAGGUUUCUUUAGAGGGGAUAUUCAAGAAUGAUCUCUGUGGAACUAUAUCUGAGCCAAAUCCAAACAACUCUGUUAUAACUGAAGAACAGACAGAAGUUCAUUGUGGCCACAUUCAACCAAGGGAAGGAGAACAACUCAGAGUUAUUCAGCCAAUUCCUGUAGAGACUCACAGGUCACCACAAGAAGUUUGAACUUCAAGUCCACUGAUCCAUCACUUGGAGAGCUUUAAUAGAAAAGUGACAGACACUGGUUUCAGUUUAAAAUGUCACUCUGGAUGCUGCGACAGGAGGAAGAGGAUGAGAAACAUGGACUUAGAUAAACUCGUAAAAAGUGACUGUUGGAGUUAUCCAGCCUUCCAGUGUCAGCAGACAAGAUGAAGAAAGGAGGAAAGCCCUUGUUAAGCAAAAAGGAAUCCAAGAUCCACCCUGAGUUUACAGCGAUCACUGAAGGAGAGCGCAUUUCACCUUCCGUUAGAGAACUGAUGCAGAGUACAGCAGCAUGGUUAAGGAUCAGAGCCAGUCUAAGAGGAAAGACUCACGUAGUAAAGGAAAAUGUGGCUGGAUUUAGGUACUGUUAUGGUUUGUUUCUGGAUGUGCCCCCAAAGCUCAUGCAGUCACGGGUGUGAGUGCUACA